RNAcentral lists this transfer RNA (72 nucleotides) under Chrysosplenium macrostemon. RNAcentral's name for it is "tRNA-Arg". It matches the Rfam family "tRNA". Rfam says of the family: Transfer RNA (tRNA) molecules are approximately 80 nucleotides in length. Their secondary structure includes four short double-helical elements and three loops (D, anti-codon, and T loops). Lineage: Eukaryota; Viridiplantae; Streptophyta; Magnoliopsida; Saxifragales; Saxifragaceae. The record is from RNAcentral. RNAcentral also lists the same sequence under 11 other names.
GCGUCCAUUGUCUAAUGGAUAGGACAGAGGUUUUCUAAACCUUUGGUAUAGGUUCAAAUCCUGUUGGACGCA